RNAcentral lists this ribosomal RNA (459 nucleotides) under uncultured bacterium. RNAcentral describes it as "partial 16S ribosomal RNA". It matches the Rfam family "Bacterial small subunit ribosomal RNA", at positions 338 to 795 of the family's 1533-position model. The record is from RNAcentral.
CCUACGGGUGGCAGCAGUGAGGACUAUUGGUCAAUGGUCGGGAGACUGAACCAGCCAAGCCGCGUGAGGGAGGAAGGUACAGAGUAUCGUAAACCUCUUUUGUCAGGGAACAAAGGCGGGGACGUGUCCCCGGUUGAGUGUACCUGAAGAAAAAGCAUCGGCUAACUCCGUGCCAGCAGCCGCGGUAAUACGAGGGAUGCGAACGUUAUCCGGAUUUAUUGGGUUUAAAGGGUGCGCAGGCGGUCUGUUAGGUCAGCGGUAAAAGCCCGGGGCUCAACCCCGGCCCGCAGUUGAAACUGGCAGUCUCGAGUUGGAGAGAAGUAUGCGGAAUGCGCGGUGUAGCGGUGAAAUGCAUAGAUAUCGCGCAGAACUCCGAUUGCGAAGGCAGCAUGCCGGCUCCACACUGACGCUGAGGCACGAAAGCGUGGGGAUCGAACAGGAUUAGAUACCCCAGUAGUC